This 279-nucleotide ribosomal RNA is filed under the name uncultured archaeon. RNAcentral describes it as "partial 16S rRNA". It matches the Rfam family "Archaeal small subunit ribosomal RNA", at positions 1047 to 1325 of the family's 1478-position model. The record is from RNAcentral.
GAGACCCACGCCAACAGUUGCCAGCUCGUCCUCCGGGAUGGAGGGGACACUGUUGGGACCGCCUCUGCUAAAGAGGAGGAAGGAAUGGGCAACGGUAGGUCAGCAUGCCCCGAAUUAUCCGGGCUACACGCGGGCUACAAUGGGUGGGACAAUGGGUAUCGACACCGAAAGGUGAAGGCAAUCUCCUAAACCCAUCCUUAGUUCGGAUUGUGGGCUGCAACUCGCCCACAUGAAGCUGGAAUCCGUAGUAAUCGUGUCUCAAAAUGGCACGGUGAAUAU